AGCCUGAACGCUGGCGGCGUGGCUAAGACAUGCAAGUCGCACGGUGUAGCAAUACACAGUGGCGAACGGGUGAGUAAUGAAUCGCUAAUGUACCCCGGACUCUGGGAUAGCCAGCCGAAAGGCUGGGUAAUACCAGAUGAUAUAACCGAUCCGCAUGGGUUGGUUCUCAAAGGUCCGCCGGUCUGGGAGCAGGCGAUUUCGUAUCAGCUAGUUGGUGAGGUAACGGCUCACCAAGGCGACGACGCGUAGCCGGACUGAGAGGUUGGCCGGCCACAUUGGGACUGAGACACUGCCCAGACUCCUACGGGGGGCUGCAGUAACGAAUCUUCCGCAAUGCACGAAAGUGUGACGGAGCGACGCCGCGUGUAGGACGAAAGCCCUUCGGGGUGUAAAACUACUGUCAGGGUAAGAAAAGUUCUGAUCUAACCCCAGAGGAAGGACGGCUAAACUCUGUGCCAGCAGCCGC
This 466-nucleotide ribosomal RNA is filed under the name uncultured soil bacterium. RNAcentral's name for it is "bacterial SSU rRNA". It matches the Rfam family "Bacterial small subunit ribosomal RNA", at positions 26 to 518 of the family's 1533-position model. The record is from RNAcentral.